CUUGGUCUAGUUGGUUAGGACGCCUGCCUGUCACGCAGGAGAUCGCGGGUUCGAUUCCCGCAGG
RNAcentral lists this transfer RNA (64 nucleotides) under Companilactobacillus farciminis. It matches the Rfam family "tRNA", at positions 6 to 65 of the family's 71-position model. From Rfam's summary of the family: Transfer RNA (tRNA) molecules are approximately 80 nucleotides in length. Their secondary structure includes four short double-helical elements and three loops (D, anti-codon, and T loops). Further hydrogen bonds mediate the characteristic L-shaped molecular structure. tRNAs have two regions of fundamental functional importance: the anti-codon, which is responsible for specific mRNA codon recognition, and the 3' end, to which the tRNAs corresponding amino acid is attached (by aminoacyl-tRNA synthetases). tRNAs cope with the degeneracy of the genetic code in two manners: having more than one tRNA (with a specific anti-codon) for a particular amino acid; and 'wobble' base-pairing, i.e. permitting non-standard base-pairing at the 3rd anti-codon position. The record is from RNAcentral. Lineage: Bacteria; Bacillati; Bacillota; Bacilli; Lactobacillales; Lactobacillaceae.